GACGAACGCUGGCGGCGUGCUUAACACAUGCAAGUCGAACGGAAAGGCCCUGCUUUUGUGGGGUGCUCGAGUGGCGAACGGGUGAGUAACACGUGAGUAACCUGCCCUUGACUUUGGGAUAACUUCAGGAAACUGGGGCUAAUACCGGAUAGGAGCUCCUGCUGCAGGGUGGGGGUUGGAAAGUUUCGGCGGUUGGGGAUGGAAUCGCGGCUUAUCAGCUUGUUGGUGGGGUAGUGGAUUACCAAGGCUUUGACGGGUAGCCGGCCUGGGAGGGUGACCGGCCACAUUGGGACUGAGAUACGGCCCAGACUCCUACGGGAGGCAGCAGUGGGGAAUAUUGCACAAUGGGCGGAAGCCUGAUGCAGCAACGCCGCGUGCGGGAUGACGGCCUUCGGGUUGUAAACCGCUUUCGCCUGUGACGAAGCGUGAGUGACGGUAAUGGGUAAAGAAGCACCGGCUAACUACGUG
Molecule: ribosomal RNA, 468 nt
Filed under: uncultured bacterium
Lineage: Bacteria
Description: partial 16S ribosomal RNA
Rfam family: Bacterial small subunit ribosomal RNA
Source: RNAcentral